This 435-nucleotide ribosomal RNA is filed under the name Triticum aestivum (bread wheat). RNAcentral's name for it is "partial small subunit ribosomal RNA". The record is from RNAcentral. Lineage: Eukaryota; Viridiplantae; Streptophyta; Magnoliopsida; Poales; Poaceae.
AUGGAACCGGUAGCCGAUGCCCUGUCUGGUACUAGCGCUGGCGGCGCCGCCGCCAAAGCUUCAGAUCUGGGAGAUUACAUGGAACAACUCAACCUGGAGGAGGAGGAUUUCGAUGAUUUGGUGAUCGAGGAGGAUGAUCCGGCUGUUAACGAGGGAGUACGCUGGCUAGCCCUAGCUAGGGUUCACACAGAGAAGAGUUUUAGUCCGACGGCGUUCUACAAAGAUAUGCGUGCGGCCUAGAAUACGGCGAAGCCCGUGAGGUUCAGACCCAUUGGACCGAACGUAUUCGUGGUGCAGGUGGAGUGCCUCGGAGAUUGGGAGCAUAUGGUGGAACAAGGGCCUUGGCUGUUCAGGAAUCUAGCGGUACUGAUGGCCCCGUACGAUGGUUUCACGAAGGCGGAAGAUGUGCCCAUGCUGUUCUUGCCGAUAUGGCUU